Long non-coding RNA from Rosa rugosa (rugosa rose), 1092 nucleotides. RefSeq lists it as uncharacterized. The transcript has 5 exons. The record is from RefSeq and is a predicted model, not a curated record. Lineage: Eukaryota; Viridiplantae; Streptophyta; Magnoliopsida; Rosales; Rosaceae.
AAAUUUUCCCACUUUACUUCACUCACUCUCUCGCCCUUCCCCGAAGCCCUAUCCCUCUCCUCCCACUUUCCUUUAUGUUCAGCACCCAACCUCCUCCUCCAUCUCCGAACCGAACCGUCCUCUUCUUCCUUCUCCGCCUCCGACCAGAACCCAACCUUUCUCCGGCUCUUCCCCCAAACCCUAUCGCUCUCUCUCCCCCGUCCUAAUCAAACCAAAACCUCAAAGCCCCAGAAAACGAAUUCACAGAGAUCGCUUUGUGGCUCAUCUCCGAGGUGCAACCUGGCGUUGACUCAUCAGAGGAAGGCGAAGAAUAUGGUGGCCACAGUGAGCCCACCCCGGUGGUCGGAGAUCGGUGACGGAGGAGAGAGUCCUCCAGAUCCACUUUCUCUAUCCUCCCUCUCUCUUUCAGAGAAAGAUUGAAAGGAUUGAUUUUGAAUCAAAGAUUUAGGAAUGGCUUCGAGAGUCGUUGAUCAACAACAAGCCAGAGAGAAUUCAUCCGGGUCUGUGGGAUUUUUGUGGUUGCAUUUUGCAAAAGACAAUGAUGGGUAGGAUGAUAUUGAAUAAUGCAUUGAGAGCAAUAGUGAAUGUAGAGAAAAGGCAGAAAGCUACGGUGGAGUUGCAACCUAUCUCCACAGUCAUGUCAUCUUUUCUCAAAAUUAUGAAAAAUCGAGGAUAUAUUAAGGAUUUUGAAGUUUUUGAGCCACAUAGAGUGGGGAAAAUUACAGUUCAACUACAAGGCAGGGUUUAUGAUUGUCGAGCUCUUACUUACAGGCAAGACGUCAAGGCAAGAGAUAUUGAAGAGUAUAAAAAGCGUAAGCUUCCAACGCACCAGGUUCAUUGACAGCUACACCAAGGACUGGAAACUCAAGUUACAAGUAUUUUUAUCUUAUAACAAACUGCUAUUUUUUUCCUUUUUCGUUUUACUGUAUCUACAAACCGUUUUUGUCUUCAUAUGGUUUAUUUAGAAGACUUCAAUCUUGUUCUUUUCUUUUGCUGUUGUAUAUGGAGAAGUUUAGGCCAUACGUCCCCUUCUCCCUACUCUUUGUACUCUUUUUAUCAAUAGUAUUAAUGAGAAUUUUCUUUUGCUUACCA